This 591-nucleotide ribosomal RNA is filed under the name uncultured bacterium. Its description in RNAcentral is "partial 16S ribosomal RNA". It matches the Rfam family "Bacterial small subunit ribosomal RNA", at positions 355 to 1378 of the family's 1533-position model. The record is from RNAcentral.
UGGGGAAUAUUGGACAAUGGGCGCAAGCCUGAUCCAGCAAUGCCGCGUGUGUGAAGAAGGCCUUCGGGUUGUAAAGCACUUUUAUCAGGAGCGAAACGCUGUCGGCUAAUACCCGGCGGAACUGACGGUACCUGAGGAAUAAGCACCGGCUAACUUCGUGCCAGCAGCCGCGGUAAUACGAAGGGUGCAAGCGUUAAUCGGAAUUACUGGGCGUAAAGCGUGCGUAGGCGGUUUCUUAAGUCUGCUGUGAAAUCCCCGGGCUCAACCUGGGAAUGGCAGUGGAUACUGGGAGGCUAGAGUGUGUCAGAGGGUGGUGGAAUUCCCGGUGUAGCGGUGAAAUGCGUAGAGAUCGGGAGGAACAUCAGUGGCGAAGGCGGCCACCUGGGACAACACUGACGCUGAGGCACGAAAGCGUGGGGAGCAAACAGGAUUAGAUACCCUGGUAGUCCACGCCCUAAAACGAUGCGAACUGGAUGUUGGUCUCAACUCGGAGAUCAGUGUCGAAGCUAACGCGUUAAGUUCGCCGCCUGGGGAGUACGGUCGCAAGACUGAAACUCAAAGGAAUUGACGGGGUCAUGAGCUGUUUCCAUG